Cyanistes caeruleus (blue tit) is the source of this 776-nucleotide long non-coding RNA. NCBI's taxonomy places the organism in Eukaryota, Metazoa, Chordata, Aves, Passeriformes, Paridae. The record is from Ensembl.
CUGGCUUGCAGCAAUUUGAGUACUUCUACCGCCUUGUUUAUACCAUUUUAAAUAUCUAAUGAAUACAAUAUGCUGUCCCCAAAAUAAUAUUGCAUAUAAGGCCUGUAAAUUUAGAGUUGAAAGUUUUAUAAAAGAACUUGGCACAUUACCUCUCUGUAAACAUUAACCGAGCGUUCCUUAAAAUGCUUUCCCAAGCUUCUAUUGCACCCAACAAGAAGUCAGGGGAGUACAGGUAGCCAGGAUGGAGUGCCAAUGCAGUGGACAAGCUUUUUCUUGUUCCACUGUAUUUGGUAGAUAUUUUCCCACCUCUAACAACUGUUCACUUAAAUGUUGUUUUUCAGGGAGCAGCAGAUGCCAAUAUAUUCCUGAGGGAAGGGGCCCAGGAGCCAAGUGUGGCUGCAGCACGGGCAGCGAUGGGUGCCAGCAACGGGGCCCAGACGUGAGGAGCAAAGGAUCCGUCCAGGGAGCCCACUCAGGACCAAAGGAAACAGUUCUGUCUCAGAGGAUCCCCCAGCUGGUACUACUUGUGGAUGAUGCCCCAUCUGCUUUUGCUGCUGCUGAAGACAUGCAGAUCCUAGUGUGUGAAGUCAAGAAGCCUCUUCCCCUUCCCUUAUAAAAACUCUCACUCUGAGCAUUUCUUGCUGCUGUGCACAAAAUGUCUGUGAUAAGGAUGCAGAGAGAUGCUGUGGUCACAUCUUCCUUCCUCUGGCUGACAGUGAGUAUCAACUAUUUCAUUUCAGAAAGUGUGGCACAUGCUCAUGUUCCCAUUAAUGUCA